RNAcentral lists this ribosomal RNA (299 nucleotides) under Pseudomonas aeruginosa. RNAcentral describes it as "partial 23S ribosomal RNA". It matches the Rfam family "Bacterial large subunit ribosomal RNA", at positions 2646 to 2925 of the family's 2925-position model. The record is from RNAcentral. Lineage: Bacteria; Pseudomonadati; Pseudomonadota; Gammaproteobacteria; Pseudomonadales; Pseudomonadaceae.
CGUGGACGUUUGAGAUUUGAGAGGGGCUGCUCCUAGUACGAGAGGACCGGAGUGGACGAACCUCUGGUGUUCCGGUUGUCACGCCAGUGGCAUUGCCGGGUAGCUAUGUUCGGAAAAGAUAACCGCUGAAAGCAUCUAAGCGGGAAACUUGCCUCAAGAUGAGAUCUCACUGGGAACUUGAUUCCCCUGAAGGGCCGUCGAAGACUACGACGUUGAUAGGCUGGGUGUGUAAGCGUUGUGAGGCGUUGAGCUAACCAGUACUAAUUGCCCGUGAGGCUUGACCAUAUAACACCCAAACA